UUUUACUAUGGAGAGUUUGAUCCUGGCUCAGGAUGAACGCUAGCGGCAGGCCUAAUACAUGCAAGUCGGACGGGAUUCAAUAGCUUGCUAUUGAUGAGAGUGGCGCACGGGUGCGUAACGCGUGAGCAACCUGCCCAUAUCAGGGGGAUAGCCCGGAGAAAUCCGGAUUAACACCGCAUAACACAGUUUUCUGGCAUCAGU
RNAcentral lists this ribosomal RNA (201 nucleotides) under Sphingobacterium pedocola. RNAcentral describes it as "Sphingobacterium sp. Ka21 partial 16S ribosomal RNA". It matches the Rfam family "Bacterial small subunit ribosomal RNA", at positions 1 to 195 of the family's 1533-position model. The record is from RNAcentral. Lineage: Bacteria; Pseudomonadati; Bacteroidota; Sphingobacteriia; Sphingobacteriales; Sphingobacteriaceae.